AGACCGACCUCCGGAAGCAGGAGCGCGGGCGCUGGGCGAGAGGAAGUGGGGCCGCGCGGAUGGCAAAAUCCUCAGCUCUGGGGUCAAGUUCAGUAAGGCCGGGUCCUCCAUCGCGUGCUGCUAAAAUCGCUACCUCAAUUUCGAUUCCUCCUCCUGUCUUCGGGUACAGGUGCUAACGGAGAAUCAGAUGGCCCAGAGAAUGUUGGCGGGGGUGCAGUUUUCAGCGGGGUGUUUGGAGAUGGCGCCGCAGCGAAGAAGGGACUGAAGACGGGAGAGCAAGUCAAGCGGCGUCUGAGGGGAAGCACUGCUGCCUUCCAGACACUGAGAUGUUCUUCCUUGUAGGGGCCAGUUCUUCCACGAUUCGCAGGCACCUUAUCAGGCAGAAUUAGUACUAUUUCUACGCACAUCGGCAAUGAUAUCCUCUACUGAAGCUUGAACCCCUCAAAAAUCAUCCAUGAGGGUUGGACUCAACUUCCUCCAGACUCCUGUGAAUAUUGAUACUCCUCCCAUGAAUCAUGAAUGUUAUUAAUGGCAUCUGUAGUUAUGAAUCCUUUCCAGAGGUUUUCAAUUGACUUUGCUCAGAUCCAUCAGAGGAAUCACUAUCUUUGGCACCUGCAGCCCCUGGAAAUAUGUUUCUUAAAUAAUAAGGCUUUAAACUCAAAA
Molecule: non-coding RNA, 663 nt
Organism: Manis javanica (Malayan pangolin)
Lineage: Eukaryota; Metazoa; Chordata; Mammalia; Pholidota; Manidae
Source: RefSeq, a predicted model, not a curated record